AAUCAACGCUGGCGGCGUGCCUAACACAUGCAAGUCGAACGCGAAAGCCCCGCAAGGGGCAAGUAGAGUGGCAAACGGGUGAGUAACACGUGGGUGACCUGCCUUCGAGCGGGGGAUAACGUCCCGAAAGGGACGCUAAUACCGCAUAACAUCCUGCCUUUGAAGAGGUGGAGAUCAAAGCUGGGGAUCGCAAGACCCGGCACUUGAAGAGGGGCCCGCGUCUGAUUAGCUAGNGGUGGGGUAAUGGCCUACCAAGGCAACGAUCAGUAUCCGGCCUGAGAGGGCGGACGGACACACUGGGACUGAGACACGGCCCAGACUCCUACGGGAGGCAGCAGUGGGGAAUUGUUCGCAAUGGGCGCAAGCCUGACGACGCAACGCCGCGUGGAGGAUGAAGAUUUCGGAUCGUAAACUCCUGUCGAAUGGGACGAACAGAUUACGGGUUAACAGCCUGUAGUCCUGACGGUAACCGUUAAAGGAAA
Molecule: ribosomal RNA, 482 nt
Filed under: uncultured bacterium
Lineage: Bacteria
Description: bacterial SSU rRNA
Rfam family: Bacterial small subunit ribosomal RNA
Source: RNAcentral